AAUAAGUGAUAUUUUACACUAUUUCUUAUUUGAAAUUUUUUAGGUUAGUAUUUUUAUUAUUGUUAGAUAAUAAAAUAUGAAUAAUACUUUAUAUGUGACUAAUUAUUUUUAAUUUUUUUAUAAAUUUUUCAAAUAAGACGGAUGGUCAAACGUUGGACACGGAUAUUCACGGCUGCACUUAUU
Molecule: microRNA precursor, 183 nt
Filed under: Oryza glumipatula
Lineage: Eukaryota; Viridiplantae; Streptophyta; Magnoliopsida; Poales; Poaceae
Description: MIR812 microRNA precursor family
Rfam family: MIR812 microRNA precursor family
Source: Rfam by way of RNAcentral